CCCUUAGAUGUUCUGGGCGGCCCGCGCACUACAUUGGCACUCUCAAUAAGUUCCUAGAUCUAAAACUUUGGGGUAUUCUAUUAAGUGGUGUCGUGACUGGGAUUGACCCUUGCAAUUAUUGGUUACGAACGAGGAAUUCCUUGUAAUCGCGGUUUAUCAGCCCGCGUUGAAUGCGUCCCUGCCCUUUGUACACACCGCCCGUCGCUCCUACCGAUGAAUCGUCCGGUGAAGUUCAUGGAGUGGUGGUUGUUCCAGCUGCUGUCGAAGUGAAAUGGACCUCACGAUUUAGAGGAAGGAGAAGUCGUAACA
RNAcentral lists this ribosomal RNA (309 nucleotides) under uncultured eukaryote. RNAcentral's name for it is "partial 18S ribosomal RNA". It matches the Rfam family "Eukaryotic small subunit ribosomal RNA", at positions 1470 to 1796 of the family's 1831-position model. The record is from RNAcentral.